Molecule: ribosomal RNA, 1323 nt
Filed under: Oceanobacillus sp. W6
Lineage: Bacteria; Bacillati; Bacillota; Bacilli; Caryophanales; Bacillaceae
Description: bacterial SSU rRNA
Rfam family: Bacterial small subunit ribosomal RNA
Source: RNAcentral
AUGCAGUCGAGCGCAGGAAGCAAGUUGAUCCCCUUCGGGGGUGACGCUUGUGGAAUGAGCGGCGGACGGGUGAGUAACACGUGGGCAACCUGCCUGUAAGACUGGGAUAACCCCGGGAAACCGGGGCUAAUACCGGAUAAUACUUUCUUUUGCAUAAAGGAAAGUUGAAAGGCGGCUUCGGCUGUCACUUACAGAUGGGCCCGCGGCGCAUUAGCUAGUUGGUGAGGUAACGGCUCACCAAGGCGACGAUGCGUAGCCGACCUGAGAGGGUGAUCGGCCACACUGGGACUGAGACACGGCCCAGACUCCUACGGGAGGCAGCAGUAGGGAAUCUUCCGCAAUGGACGAAAGUCUGACGGAGCAACGCCGCGUGAGUGAUGAAGGUUUUCGGAUCGUAAAACUCUGUUGUUAGGGAAGAACAAGUACGAUAGUAACUGAUCGUACCUUGACGGUACCUAACCAGAAAGCCACGGCUAACUACGUGCCAGCAGCCGCGGUAAUACGUAGGUGGCAAGCGUUGUCCGGAAUUAUUGGGCGUAAAGCGCUCGCAGGCGGUCCUUUAAGUCUGAUGUGAAAUCUCGCGGCUCAACCGCGAACGGUCAUUGGAAACUGGAGGACUUGAGUACAGAAGAGGAGAGUGGAAUUCCACGUGUAGCGGUGAAAUGCGUAGAGAUGUGGAGGAACACCAGUGGCGAAGGCGACUCUCUGGUCUGUAACUGACGCUGAGGAGCGAAAGCGUGGGGAGCGAACAGGAUUAGAUACCCUGGUAGUCCACGCCGUAAACGAUGAGUGCUAGGUGUUAGGGGGUUUCCGCCCCUUAGUGCUGAAGUUAACGCAUUAAGCACUCCGCCUGGGGAGUACGGCCGCAAGGCUGAAACUCAAAAGAAUUGACGGGGGGCCCGCACAAGCGGGGGAGCAUGUGGGUUUAAUUCGAAGCAACGCCGAAGAACCUUACCAGGUCUUGACAUCCUCUGGCCAUUCCUAGAAGAUAGGAAGUUUCCUUUCGGGGACAAAAUGGACAGGGGGGGGCAUGGGUUGUCCUCCACCUCCGGUCCUGGAAAUGUUGGGGUUAAAUCCCCGCAACCAAGCGCAACCCCUUGAACCUAAGUUGCCAGCAUUUAAGUUGGGGCACUCUAAAGGGGGACUGGCCGGUGACCAAACCGGAAGGAAAGGUGGGGGAUGAACGUCCAAAUCAUCCAUGCCCCUUAUGACCUGGGCUACACACGUGGUUUAAAUGGAGUUGGGACCAAGGGGAGAGCCCAAACCCCCCAGGGGUCGAGGGUAAUUCCCUUAAAAAACAUUUUUUCCUUUUGGGAAUUCGAG